GUGGUAUCAAGAGGUGCAUUGAGGCGCUCCUGCAGCCUCCUCCCGGCACGGGACUCCUCACAACCCCCAGCCUCAGCUUCCCUGACAGGGCAGGGGCUCACUCUUCUCCACUCCGGGCCAGGAACGCAGCCUGCUUGCCUUUUGUCCAAUUGGGUGCUCUUUCUUUGCGACUGAUACAAAGUGGGAACAAACUCCGCUUCCGGUGAUGCCCGGGCCCCAGGAGGCUGGGGGAGAAGUGCACGCUGCCCAGCCUUCAACCUGAACUGCCCCCAGCACUUCCGAGCCCCGACCCCUGCAGCUGUGAGGGAAGCCCCGACCUCUGCCCUGGCCACAUCCUUCCCCUGAUCUCAUGGCUGAAAAGCCACACCAGAAUUCCUGCAAUUCAGUGAGGCAGCUCUUCAAAACCAAGCAGCUGGUGACGCACAGGGACAGAGGGUAGGCCUGCGGGGGAGAGGGCGGGAAAGGCCCUCACAGCAGGGCCCAGAGGAAGACUGACCCCAGGCUGAGCAGGAGCUGUACGCACAGGGCCCAGGGGCUGCUGGCUGCCAGGACCACCGCAUUGCAGAGGUCUCCCUUGCAGCAAGAGAUCUGGGAGUCCACAACGGCACUUAACCUGCCCUCUGCCCUGGCACCCCAGGGACUCACUGCCAAAGACGCUCACUUUCUGGGAGACACAGACCCCAUCCAGGAAGGGGCACGAGACCACGCUGCAGGAGGCCCCUUCCAAGACCGCCAAGCAUCUGUAGCAGCGCAGACCCUGAGCUGGGAGAGAGGGCAAGAAAACACACCCCUGGUGGAGAUUUAAGAUGCUAAUGACACAUGCGACGUAUGAGCAAGCAGGUGCAGCUACUGCACGUGUGCACCCAGAGGACCCCCCCAGAACAUGCUUCCUAGCAACACCUCUGCCCACCCGCUGUGAGUAAUCAUGGAAGACUCCCAUGGAGGAGCCUCCCUGGUGCCAGUCUCUGCUGUCUCGCCCUUACAAGCAGCCGGCCCUGAAUCCUCUCUCUCAGGGCGUCCUAUCUCUUCUGCAUCAAACUUUCAAAAUGUUCUUUCUCCUUUGCAAUACAUUGCUCUGUGCUGCA
Homo sapiens (human) is the source of this 1085-nucleotide long non-coding RNA. Ensembl annotates it as LY6S antisense RNA 1. Its record names the gene LY6S-AS1. NCBI's taxonomy places the organism in Eukaryota, Metazoa, Chordata, Mammalia, Primates, Hominidae. The record is from Ensembl.